CCUACGGGAGGCAGCAGUGGGGAAUAUUGCACAAUGGGCGCAAGCCUGAUGCAGCGACGCCGCGUGCGGGAUGAAGGCCUUAGGGUUGUAAACCGCUUUCAGCAGGGACGAAAUUGACGGUACCUGCAGAAGAAGCCCCGGCCAACUACGUGCCAGCAGCCGCGGUAAUACGUAGGGGGCGAGCGUUGUCCGGAUUUAUUGGGCGUAAAGAGCUCGUAGGCGGUCCGGUAAGUCGGAUGUGAAAUCUCCACGCUUAACGUGGAGGGGUCAUUCGAAACUGCCAUGGCUAGAGUUUGGUAGAGGAGUGCGGAACUCCCGGUGUAGCGGUGAAAUGCGCAGAUAUCGGGAAGAACACCCGCAGCGAAGGCGGCACUCUGGGCCAAUACUGACGCUGAGGAGCGAAAGCGUGGGGAGCAAACAGGAUUAGAUACCCUGGUAGUCCACGCCGUAAACGUUGGGCACUAGGUGUGGGGAUCUAUCGACGGUCUCCGUGCCGUAGCUAACGCAUUAAGUGCCCCGCCUGGGGAGUACGGCCGCGAGACGUAAACGUACAANAGAAGUAAGUACGCGUUGAGACGUUGCGAGGCGACGACGAGGGAGAGG
This 603-nucleotide ribosomal RNA is filed under the name uncultured bacterium. RNAcentral describes it as "bacterial SSU rRNA". The stretch from base 1 to 521 matches the Rfam family "Bacterial small subunit ribosomal RNA", at positions 338 to 873 of the family's 1533-position model. The record is from RNAcentral.